Long non-coding RNA from Stegostoma tigrinum, 358 nucleotides. RefSeq lists it as uncharacterized. NCBI's taxonomy places the organism in Eukaryota, Metazoa, Chordata, Chondrichthyes, Orectolobiformes, Stegostomatidae. The transcript has 3 exons. The record is from RefSeq and is a predicted model, not a curated record.
GAGUGGAAGAAUCAGAGUGCUUUCUUUGAAAAUUGGCUUGACGUGACUCUUCAAGGAUCAUCUGGAGGAAAAAUACAAGUAUCUCUUCAAACAAGUCGCUGAACCCACAGAUUUAUGUGACCAACGAAGCCUGAGUCUUUUGCUUUACGAUGCAGUCCAGAUCCCUUGGCAGCUGGGUGAGGUAGCUUCAUUUGGAGGCUGCAACAUUGAACCAAGUAUCCGCAGUUGCUUCCAACAUGGCCAGAACAAACCAGAGAUUGACGUUGAACGCUUUGUCGAGUGGAUGAGAUUGGAGCCUCAGUCCAUGGUGUGGCUGCCUGUUCGACACCGUGUGGCAGCUGCUGAAACUGCAAAACAU